CACGUAGGAGGCAAGCGUUAUUCGGAUUUACUGGGCGUAAAGCGCGUGCAGGCGGUUCGGUAAGUUGGAUGUGAAAGCUCCUGGCUUAACUGGGAGAGGUCGUCCAAUACUACCGGACUAGAGGACGGUAGAGGAAGGUGGAAUUCCGGGUGUAGUGGUGAAAUGCGUAGAUAUCCGGAGGAACACCAGUGGCGAAGGCGGCCUUCUGGGCCGUUCCUGACGCUCAGACGCGAAAGCUAGGGUAG
RNAcentral lists this ribosomal RNA (245 nucleotides) under uncultured Anaerolineaceae bacterium. RNAcentral describes it as "partial 16S ribosomal RNA". It matches the Rfam family "Bacterial small subunit ribosomal RNA", at positions 524 to 768 of the family's 1533-position model. The record is from RNAcentral. Lineage: Bacteria; Bacillati; Chloroflexota; Anaerolineae; Anaerolineales; Anaerolineaceae.